ACGCCAUCUAUCGCCGAAUAGCUGAACGA
Molecule: small RNA, 29 nt
Filed under: Bombyx mori (domestic silkworm)
Lineage: Eukaryota; Metazoa; Arthropoda; Insecta; Lepidoptera; Bombycidae
Description: ovarian small RNA-11487
Source: RNAcentral